This 258-nucleotide ribosomal RNA is filed under the name uncultured bacterium. RNAcentral describes it as "partial 16S ribosomal RNA". It matches the Rfam family "Bacterial small subunit ribosomal RNA", at positions 526 to 779 of the family's 1533-position model. The record is from RNAcentral.
CGUAGGUGGCAAGCGUUGUCCGGAUUUAUUGGGCGUAAAGCGAGCGCAGGCGGUUCCUUAAGUCUGAUGUGAAAGCCCCCGGCUCAACCGGGAGGGUCGAUUGGAAACUAGGGGAACGUUGAGUGCAGAAGAGGAGAGUGGAAUUCCAUGUGUAGCGGUGAAAUAGCGUAGAUAUAUGGAGGAACACCAGUGGCGAAGGCGACUCUCUGGUCUGUAACUGACGCUGAGGCUCGAAAGCGUGGGGUAGCAAACAGGAUU